CCUUCAAUAGCUCAGCAGGUAGAGCAGAGGACUGUAACUUAAGGAUGUGGACAUCCUUAAGUUGCUGGUUUGAUUCUGGAUCAAAGGA
This 88-nucleotide transfer RNA is filed under the name Cervus elaphus hippelaphus. It matches the Rfam family "tRNA". Rfam says of the family: Transfer RNA (tRNA) molecules are approximately 80 nucleotides in length. Their secondary structure includes four short double-helical elements and three loops (D, anti-codon, and T loops). The record is from Rfam by way of RNAcentral. RNAcentral also lists the same sequence under 1 other name. Lineage: Eukaryota; Metazoa; Chordata; Mammalia; Artiodactyla; Cervidae.